This 506-nucleotide ribosomal RNA is filed under the name uncultured bacterium. RNAcentral describes it as "partial 16S ribosomal RNA". It matches the Rfam family "Bacterial small subunit ribosomal RNA", at positions 29 to 523 of the family's 1533-position model. The record is from RNAcentral.
AGUGAACGCUGGCGGUAGGCCUAACACAUGCAAGCCGAACGGCAGCACAGGAGAGCUUGUUCUCUGGGUGGCGAGUGGCGGACGGGUGAGGAAUACAUCGGAAUCUACUCUGUCGUGGGGGAUAACGUAGGGAAACUUACGCUAAUACCGCAUACGACCUACGGGUGAAAGCAGGGGACCUUCGGGCCUUGCGCGAUUGAAUGAGCCGAUGGCGGAUUAGCUAGUUGGCGGGGUAAAGGCCCACCAAGGCGACGAUCCGUAGCUGGUCUAAUAGGAUUGUCAGCGACACUGGAACUGAGACACGUACCAGACUCCUACGGGAGGCAGCAGUGGGGAAUAUUGGACACUGGGCGCAAGCCUGGUCCAGCCAUACCUCGUGGGUGAAGAAGGCCUUCGGGUUGUAAAGCCCUUUUGUUGGGAAAGAAAUCCAGCUGGCUAAUACCCGGUUGGGAUGACGGUACCCAAAGAAUAAGCACCGGCUAACUUCGUGCCAGCCGCCGCAGUAA